GUCGCCGUAGCUCAGCUGGAUAGAGCGGUUGUUUCCUAAACAACAGGUCGCAUGUUCAAGUCAUGCCGGUGACGCCA
Molecule: transfer RNA, 77 nt
Filed under: bacterium
Lineage: Bacteria
Also listed under: 3 other names
Description: tRNA-Arg
Rfam family: tRNA
About the family: Transfer RNA (tRNA) molecules are approximately 80 nucleotides in length. Their secondary structure includes four short double-helical elements and three loops (D, anti-codon, and T loops).
Source: RNAcentral